GCCAAUUUAGCUCAGUUGGUAGAGCACGAAACUUGUAAUUUUGAGGUCAUCUGUUCAAUUCAGAUAAUUGGCUCCA
RNAcentral lists this transfer RNA (76 nucleotides) under Caudoviricetes sp. RNAcentral's name for it is "tRNA-Thr". It matches the Rfam family "tRNA". From Rfam's summary of the family: Transfer RNA (tRNA) molecules are approximately 80 nucleotides in length. Their secondary structure includes four short double-helical elements and three loops (D, anti-codon, and T loops). Lineage: Duplodnaviria; Heunggongvirae; Uroviricota; Caudoviricetes. The record is from RNAcentral.